UAUUAUUUAAAAUGUAAAUAUUAAUAUUUAAGUAGUAAUAGUUAUGUUCUUGAAACUUAAAAAAUUUGGCGGUAUUUUAGUCUAUCCAGAGGAACCUGUUUUGUAAUCGAUAAUCCACGAUGGACCUUACUUAAAUUUGUAUUCAGUUUAUAUACCGUCGUUAUCAGAAUAUUUUAUAAGAAUAAUAAUAUUCAAUAAUUUUUAUUAAAAUUUAUAUCAGAUCAAGGUGUAGCUUAUAUUUAAGUAAUAAUGGGUUACAAUAAAUUUAUUUAAACGGAGAAAAUUAUGAAAAAGUUUUUGAAGGUGGAUUUGGUUGUAAAAUUAUAAAGAUUAAUAAUUUGAUUUUAGCUCUAAAAUAUGUACACAUCGCCCGUCGCUCUUAUUAUUAAGGUAAGAUAAGUCGUAACAUAGUAGAUGUACUGGAAAGUGUAUCUAGAAUGA
RNAcentral lists this ribosomal RNA (441 nucleotides) under Drosophila parisiena. RNAcentral describes it as "partial 12S ribosomal RNA". RNAcentral also lists the same sequence under 1 other name. The record is from RNAcentral. Lineage: Eukaryota; Metazoa; Arthropoda; Insecta; Diptera; Drosophilidae.